RNAcentral lists this ribosomal RNA (465 nucleotides) under uncultured bacterium. RNAcentral's name for it is "bacterial SSU rRNA". It matches the Rfam family "Bacterial small subunit ribosomal RNA", at positions 330 to 792 of the family's 1533-position model. The record is from RNAcentral.
GCCAGACUCCUACGGGAGGCAGCAGUGAGGAAUAUUGGUCAAUGGGCGGAAGCCUGAACCAGCCAAGUCGCGUGAGGGAAUAAGGCCCUACGGGUCGUAAACCUCUUUUGCCGGGGAGCAAGGGCGGGGACGUGUCCCGGCCCGGAGAGUACCCGGAGAAAAAGCAUCGGCUAACUCCGUGCCAGCAGCCGCGGUAAUACGGAGGAUGCGAGCGUUAUCCGGAUUUAUUGGGUUUAAAGGGUGCGUAGGCGGGCUUUUAAGUCAGCGGUAAAAAUUCGGGGCUCAACCCCGUCCGGCCGUUGAAACUGGGGGCCUUGAGUGGGCGAGAAGAAGGCGGAAUGCGUGGUGUAGCGGUGAAAUGCAUAGAUAUCACGCAGAACCCCGAUUGCGAAGGCAGCAUACCGGUGCACAACUGACGCUCAUGCACGAAAGUGUGGGUAUCGAACAGGAUUAGAUACCCCUGUA